This 51-nucleotide non-coding RNA is filed under the name Trypanosoma brucei brucei. The record is from RNAcentral. Lineage: Eukaryota; Euglenozoa; Kinetoplastea; Trypanosomatida; Trypanosomatidae.
AUAUAGAACUAGGCAGUCACGGAUUUGUAUAAUGAUGUAGAAUGAUAUUAA